GGAGCGUGUUGCUUAAUUCGAUGCUACGCGAAGAACCUUACCUAGGUUAAAUCAUUGGGAAAAGCCACAGAGAUGUGGUGUCCUUCGGGGCUCAAUGAAGGUGGUGCAUGGCUGUCGUCAGCUCGUGUCGUGAGAUGUUGGGUUAAGUCCCGCAACGAGCGCAACCCUUAUUCUAUGUUGCCAGCACGUAAUGGUGGGGACUCGUAGGAGACUGCCGGGGUCAACUCGGAGGAAGGUGGGGAUGACGUCAAGUCAUCAUGCCCCUUAUGUCUAGGGCUGCAAACACGCUACAAUGGCCGGUACAAAGGGCUGCGAAACCGCGAGGUUUAGCGAAUCCCAUAAAGCCGGUCUCAGUUCGGAUUGGAGGCUGCAACUCGCCUCCAUGAAGCUGGAGUUGCUAGUAAUCCCGGAUCAGCACGCCGGGGUGAAUACGUUCCCGGGCCUUGUACACACCGCCCGUCACACCACGAAAGUC
Molecule: ribosomal RNA, 475 nt
Filed under: uncultured Actinomycetes bacterium
Lineage: Bacteria; Bacillati; Actinomycetota; Actinomycetes
Description: bacterial SSU rRNA
Rfam family: Bacterial small subunit ribosomal RNA
Source: RNAcentral